This 450-nucleotide ribosomal RNA is filed under the name uncultured bacterium. Its description in RNAcentral is "partial 16S ribosomal RNA". It matches the Rfam family "Bacterial small subunit ribosomal RNA", at positions 354 to 796 of the family's 1533-position model. The record is from RNAcentral.
GUGGGGAAUAUUGGACAAUGGGCGAAAGCCUGAUCCAGCCAUGCCGCGUGCAGGAUGAAGGCCUUCGGGUUGUAAACUGCUUUUGUACGGAACGAAACGGUCCGGGUUAAUACCCUGGGCUAAUGACGGUACCGUAAGAAUAAGCACCGGCUAACUACGUGCCAGCAGCCGCGGUAAUACGUAGGGUGCAAGCGUUAAUCGGAAUUACUGGGCGUAAAGCGUGCGCAGGCGGUUUUGUAAGACAGGCGUGAAAUCCCCGGGCUCAACCUGGGAGUUGCGCUUGUGACUGCAAGGCUGGAGUGCGGCAGAGGGGGAUGGAAUUCCGCGUGUAGCAGUGAAAUGCGUAGAUAUGCGGAGGAACACCGAUGGCGAAGGCAAUCCCCUGGGCCUGCACUGACGCUCAUGCACGAAAGCGUGGGGAGCAAACAGGAUUAGAAACCCGAGUAGUCC